ACACACACACAGAGAGAAUGAAGUUUCUUUCUGUCUCUUAAGUGAUGUGUGAGUGGAUGGACAGAUUGCCCUCAGCUUUAAGGGCAGUUCAGGAUGAUCUGUCUUAAGAUCGAUGCUCUGUGGAAUGAGAAAAAUGCGCUCUGCAGGGCAUGCCCACUGCAUGUGCUGGGAGGCUCUCCUACAUCCAAUGGGCAGAUGCGCAGUCUCCACGGAGGCCUCAGGCCUCGGUGUGAGCCAGGGCUGCUUCAAACAUGUCGGCUAUCUAAAGUAAGUCCCAGCAGGGGUCAUUUAUUUAAGGACCGUGGUGCUUUCCAUGGCUGAUUUGCUGGUAAAUGACAGGUGUGAGUGUAGUGAACAUGUCUUGCCUCCACCUACUUCACCCACCAUCCUGUGCAUCAUGGAAACCUGUCUCGAUGAUCAGCAGCCAUGUGUGGUGGGGUGGAAAGGACAGUCUCCAGAGACAGAAUCCUGGGACCAUCCCUGACUUUGCAACUUACUAGCUUUCUUGCCACACUAUUUAGUUUUUUCAAGCUGUAAUUUCCUUAAAAUGGGGAAUAUGAUCAAUCUCUAUCCCACAGAAAAUUUGGAGCACAUGAGUUCAUUCAAGUAAAGUAUACCAUUAGCAGGCCAUAACACAGGCACGAAGAAGGAAAUACAAUAAUUUGUGCGUGUGUGUGGUGGGUUAAGUGUCACAUCUUCAUAAAAUUCAACCCUACCCCCAUUUCAGUCACUUGUCAGAGAGGAAAGCCAAGAAGCCAAUUCCAAGAGUUUAGUGUGACAUCAGUGUCUAGGUCAUCUAAAUCUGGCCAUCUUUCUGCCAUACCUAUCUAAGUCCUGUGGCAAUUAACACAGUAGAGCUAUAUUUGCAUAAGUAACUUUAUAGUCUCUGUGUAUAUGCUGAGCAGAGCUGAUUCAUUUUACAAUCAUUUGCACUUGUCAUAGAGCUCCUUCAAUACUACUACCCAAACAUGUUGGACAAAGAAAAGAAGAUAGACACUUUUGUUUUGUUGCUUGUUUUCUACUGAUUUUGUAAUACUGUAUUUUCAACUUCUUAGCGACAUUGGCCCCAUGUUAAAGGCCUAUGUCACACAGCCUGUUGUGAAUAAGAAGUUUUUU
RNAcentral lists this long non-coding RNA (1116 nucleotides) under Homo sapiens (human). Its description in RNAcentral is "non-protein coding lnc-MASTL-3:8". Lineage: Eukaryota; Metazoa; Chordata; Mammalia; Primates; Hominidae. The record is from RNAcentral.